RNAcentral lists this non-coding RNA (107 nucleotides) under uncultured Eubacterium sp. Its description in RNAcentral is "FMN riboswitch (RFN element)". It matches the Rfam family "FMN riboswitch aptamer (RFN element)". From Rfam's summary of the family: The RFN element is a highly conserved domain that is found frequently in the 5'-untranslated regions of prokaryotic mRNAs that encode for flavin mononucleotide (FMN) biosynthesis and transport proteins. This element is a metabolite-dependent riboswitch that directly binds FMN in the absence of proteins. The record is from RNAcentral. Lineage: Bacteria; Bacillati; Bacillota; Clostridia; Eubacteriales; Eubacteriaceae.
AUCUUCAGGGCAGGGUGCGAUUCCCUACCGGUGGUAAAGCCCACGAGCCGGAAGGCAUGAUUCGGUGAAACUCCGAAGCCGACAGUAAAGUCUGGAUGAAAGAAGAU